AUUGAACGCUGGCGGCAUGCUUUACACAUGCAAGUCGAACGGUAACAGGUCUUCGGAUGCUGACGAGUGGCGAACGGGUGAGUAAUGCAUCGGAACGUGCCCAGUCGUGGGGGAUAACGCAGCGAAAGCUGCGCUAAUACCGCAUACGACCUAUGGAUGAAAGCGGGGGACCGUAAGGCCGUGCGCGAUUGGCGCGGCCGAUGUCAGAUUAGGUAGUCUGUGGGGUAAAGGCCCACCAAGCCAACGAUCUGUAGCUAGUCUGAGAGGACGACCAGCCACACUGGGGCUGAAGCACGGCCCAGACUCCUACGGGAGGCAGCAGUGGGGAAUUUUGGACAAUGGGCGCAAGCCUGAUCCAGCAAUGCCGCGUGCAGGAAGAAGGCCUUCGGGUUGUAAACUGCUUUUGUACGGAACGAAACGGCUCUCUCUAAUACAGAGGGCUAACGACGGUACCGUAAGAAUAAGCACCGGCUAACUACGUGCCAGCCGCCGCCGUAA
Molecule: ribosomal RNA, 498 nt
Filed under: uncultured bacterium
Lineage: Bacteria
Description: partial 16S ribosomal RNA
Rfam family: Bacterial small subunit ribosomal RNA
Source: RNAcentral